This 867-nucleotide ribosomal RNA is filed under the name Bacillus subtilis. RNAcentral's name for it is "bacterial SSU rRNA". It matches the Rfam family "Bacterial small subunit ribosomal RNA", at positions 106 to 957 of the family's 1533-position model. The record is from RNAcentral. Lineage: Bacteria; Bacillati; Bacillota; Bacilli; Caryophanales; Bacillaceae.
GUGAGUAACACGUGGGUAACCUGCCUGUAAGACUGGGAUAACUCCGGGAAACCGGGGCUAAUACCGGAUGGUUGUUUGAACCGCAUGGUUCAAACAUAAAAGGUGGCUUCGGCUACCACUUACAGAUGGACCCGCGGCGCAUUAGCUAGUUGGUGAGGUAACGGCUCACCAAGGCAACGAUGCGUAGCCGACCUGAGAGGGUGAUCGGCCACACUGGGACUGAGACACGGCCCAGACUCCUACGGGAGGCAGCAGUAGGGAAUCUUCCGCAAUGGACGAAAGUCUGACGGAGCAACGCCGCGUGAGUGAUGAAGGUUUUCGGAUCGUAAAGCUCUGUUGUUAGGGAAGAACAAGUACCGUUCGAAUAGGGCGGUACCUUGACGGUACCUAACCAGAAAGCCACGGCUAACUACGUGCCAGCAGCCGCGGUAAUACGUAGGUGGCAAGCGUUGUCCGGAAUUAUUGGGCGUAAAGGGCUCGCAGGCGGUUUCUUAAGUCUGAUGUGAAAGCCCCCGGCUCAACCGGGGAGGGUCAUUGGAAACUGGGGAACUUGAGUGCAGAAGAGGAGAGUGGAAUUCCACGUGUAGCGGUGAAAUGCGUAGAGAUGUGGAGGAACACCAGUGGCGAAGGCGACUCUCUGGUCUGUAACUGACGCUGAGGAGCGAAAGCGUGGGGAGCGAACAGGAUUAGAUACCCUGGUAGUCCACGCCGUAAACGAUGAGUGCUAAGUGUUAGGGGGUUUCCGCCCCUUAGUGCUGCAGCUAACGCAUUAAGCACUCCGCCUGGGGAGUACGGUCGCAAGACUGAAACUCAAAGGAAUUGACGGGGGCCCGCACAAGCGGUGGAGCAUGUGGUUUAAUUCGAAGC